This 482-nucleotide ribosomal RNA is filed under the name uncultured bacterium. Its description in RNAcentral is "partial 16S ribosomal RNA". It matches the Rfam family "Bacterial small subunit ribosomal RNA", at positions 30 to 507 of the family's 1533-position model. The record is from RNAcentral.
AUUGAACGCUGGCGGCAUGCUUUACACAUGCAAGUCGAACGGUAACAGGCCGCAAGGUGCUGACGAGUGGCGAACGGGUGGGUAAUGCAUCGGAACGUGCCCAGUCGUGGGGGAUAACUACUCGAAAGAGUAGCUAAUACCGCAUACGAUCUAUGGAUGAAAGCGGGGGACCGUAAGGCCUCGCGCGAUUGGAGCGGCCGAUGUCAGAUUAGGUAGUUGGUGGGGUAAAGGCUCACCAAGCCAACGAUCUGUAGCUGGUCUGAGAGGACGACCAGCCACACUGGGACUGAGACACGGCCCAGACUCCUACGGGAGGCAGCAGUGGGGAAUGUUGGACAAUGGGCGCAAGCCUGAUCCAGCAAUGCCGCGUGCAGGAAGAAGGCCUUCGGGUCGUAAACUGCUCUUGUACGGAACGAAACGGCUCUGGUUAAUACCCGGGGCUAAUGACGGUACCGUAAGAAUAAGCACCGGCUAACUACGUG